CCUACGGGCGGCUGCAGUGAGGAAUAUUGGUCAAUGGACGAGAGUCUGAACCAGCCAAGUAGCGUGAAGGAUGACUGCCCUAUGGGUUGUAAACUUCUUUUAUAAAGGAAUAAAACGAGGCACGUGUGCCUUUUUGUAUGUACUUUAUGAAUAAGGAUCGGCUAACUCCGUGCCAGCAGCCGCGGUAAUACGGAGGAUCCGAGCGUUAUCCGGAUUUAUUGGGUUUAAAGGGAGCGUAGAUGGGUUGUUAAGUCAGUUGUGAAAGUUUGCGGCUCAACCGUAAAAUUGCAAUUGAUACUGGCAGUCUUGAGUACAGUUGAGGUAGGCGGAAUUCGUGGUGUAGCGGUGAAAUGCUUAGAUAUCACGAAGAACCCCGAUUGCGAAGGCAGCUUACUAAACUGUGACUGACAUUGAUGCUCGAAAGUGUGGGUAUCAAACAGGAUUAGAUACCCCAGUAGUC
RNAcentral lists this ribosomal RNA (460 nucleotides) under uncultured bacterium. RNAcentral describes it as "partial 16S ribosomal RNA". It matches the Rfam family "Bacterial small subunit ribosomal RNA", at positions 338 to 795 of the family's 1533-position model. The record is from RNAcentral.